UCCCCUACCUGGAGGUCCCGCAGGCGCCCUGUCCACCCAGACUCCUCGGGUCACCCCCACCAGCUUCCUGCUCGGGGGACGGCCCCUGGCGGGCGGAGGUCCCGCUGCGCUCUGACCAGCCCACCACCCGUGUCCCCAGCUUCUGCCGCAGGGCCUGGCUGCGUUCUGUGUUCUCUGCACCCGUUAACCUGCUUGGUGCUGAGUGCAUGGGGCUCCCGUGUGCCUGGUCCCUGAGGGAGGACGUGUGCGCAGCCCCUUGGUGGGCACGGCCGCCCCUCGGCCACGGUGAGAGCACCGUCCCCCGCUGUGCCCGCGCGCUCAGCCUGGCGCUCAGCCCUUGCACGGCGUUUACUUACGCAGCUGCCAGGCUGUGUUCCCCGGGUCCAGUGUGGAUGCAGGGCCCCCACCGAGUGGAAGCAGGAGCAGCUCACGGUCGGCCCUGCAGCUAGGGUUCUGCGUGUCCCCAUGUGGCCCCACGGCUGGGGUUCUGCGUGGCCCCUAGGAGGCACUGAGUGGCCCUGCAGCUGGGGUUCUGCGUGGCCCUGUGGCUGGGGUUCUGCGUGGCCCCCGGGUGGCACUGAGUGGCCCUGCAGCUGGGGUUCUGUGUGGCCCUGUGGCUGGGCUCUUCGCAGCGGACGCCCACGGGGCCACUUCUCUGCCUCCACCCGAGCACCUGUCCUAGGGAGAUGCUGACUCUCGGGCGCGGCUGCUGCAGAGCAGACACUUCUUUAUUUGUUAAUUUCUCAAGUCAGCCAUGUUUUUACAUGUCCUUCAGACAAAACAGCCAUUUCUUGUUGCCGGAUCUCUGGGCCGGUCCUGUGCCAACGUGGUGACAGUGCCUCACAGGGUCCCUCGUCUCUCUCCUGCUUUUUCCCAUCUUCAAGCCAAAGCCUGCCCAGCAGCCCCACCUCCCACUCGCUCAGUGCAACCCCAGCCUGGAGCUGGUGGGUCUGCAGGGGGCCAGGUUCCAGACCGAGCAGGUGUCUAAUGGCCUCACCGGGUUCCCGGGUGUUCACGCCCACAGGUGUCACUGCGGGACCCUCUGGCCGAGUCAAAUCAUAGUUUUCAGUCCUUAGUUUCCUGCAGCCGUCCCAGCACGCGGCAUGCCCCAGGCUCCAGCCAUUCCACCAGCCCCUCGACGCACACCUCAAUGCAGGAGGGCAGGGCCGAGCUGUUGCAGAGCAGGUCAGGGCUUCUGGCUGGGCCGGAGGAUGGGACGGCUCGGGAGACCUGCUGUGGUCUGGCUUCUUCCUCCGCAGCUGCCCAACUGCCGCCCCAGGAGAGGUGUGUGUGGUUUCUUGCCCACAAAGCCACUUGCCUUUCCCCCAGUGCGCGUGUGGGGGCGCCCAGCGGGGGACGGCGUGCCGGGGGUUGCCUAGCUGGGAGGGAAGGAGGCCGAGGUGAGUGAACUGACCCUCGCACUGUCUCGGGGUGCCCCAGCACUUGUCCCCAGCUCGUGAGCGGACGUCACCUGUGGGUGGAGAGCCACCCCAGCCCAGGUCUGGCACGAAAGGUCUCGAUCUAUCUUGACCGCAGUAAGCAGGGAGUCUCCUUAGUACAGAAGCUGAGCACUCGGGCCUCAUGGGGCC
Vicugna pacos (alpaca) is the source of this 1589-nucleotide non-coding RNA. Lineage: Eukaryota; Metazoa; Chordata; Mammalia; Artiodactyla; Camelidae. The record is from RefSeq and is a predicted model, not a curated record.